GGGGCUAUAGCUCAGUGGCAGAGCAUCUGCUUAGCAUGCAGAAGGUUCCAGGUUCAAUCCCUGGCAUCUCCA
This is a non-coding RNA of Hemicordylus capensis (graceful crag lizard), 72 nucleotides long. The record is from the annotation of a RefSeq genome assembly. NCBI's taxonomy places the organism in Eukaryota, Metazoa, Chordata, Lepidosauria, Squamata, Cordylidae.